GCUCAGGACGAACGCUGGCGGCGCGCCUAACACAUGCAAGUCGAACGAGCGAGAGAGAGCUUGCUUUCUUGAGCGAGUGGCGAACGGGUGAGUAACGCGUGAGGAACCUGCCUCAAAGAGGGGGACAACAGUUGGAAACGACUGCUAAUACCGCAUAAGCCCACAGGUCGGCAUCGACCAGAGGGAAAAGGAGCAAUCCGCUUUGAGAUGGCCUCGCGUCCGAUUAGCUAGUUGGUGAGGUAAUGGCCCACCAAGGCAACGAUCGGUAGCCGGACUGAGAGGUUGAACGGCCACAUUGGGACUGAGACACGGCCCAGACUCCUACGGGAGGCAGCAGUA
This 339-nucleotide ribosomal RNA is filed under the name uncultured bacterium. Its description in RNAcentral is "bacterial SSU rRNA". It matches the Rfam family "Bacterial small subunit ribosomal RNA", at positions 22 to 356 of the family's 1533-position model. The record is from RNAcentral.